GAUGAACGCUAGCUACAGGCUUAACACAUGCAAGUCGAGGGACCGGCGCACGGGUGAGUAACACGUAUCCAACCUGCCCUUUACUCGGGGAUAGCCUUUCGAAAGAAAGAUUAAUACCCGAUAUAAAGGAUGGGGAUGCGUUCCUUUAGGUUGUUGGUGAGGUAAUGGCCCACCAAGCCUUCGAUGGAUAGGGGUGCGGGGAGGAAGGUCCCCCACAUUGGAACUGAGACACGGUCCAAACUCCUACGGUAGGCAGGAGUAAGGAAUAUUGGUCAAUGGGCGGUAGCCUGAACCAGCCAAGUAGCGUGAAGGAUGAAGGCUUAUGGGUCGUAAACUUCUUUUAUAUAAGAAUAUUUAUUAUAUGAAUAAGGAUCGGCUAACUCCGUGCCAGCAGCCGCGGUAAUUC
This 406-nucleotide ribosomal RNA is filed under the name uncultured bacterium. RNAcentral's name for it is "partial 16S ribosomal RNA". It matches the Rfam family "Bacterial small subunit ribosomal RNA", at positions 28 to 526 of the family's 1533-position model. The record is from RNAcentral.